This 316-nucleotide ribosomal RNA is filed under the name uncultured Umbelopsis. RNAcentral describes it as "partial large subunit ribosomal RNA". It matches the Rfam family "Eukaryotic large subunit ribosomal RNA", at positions 40 to 350 of the family's 3401-position model. The record is from RNAcentral. Lineage: Eukaryota; Fungi; Mucoromycota; Umbelopsidomycetes; Umbelopsidales; Umbelopsidaceae.
AUAUCAAUAAGCGGAGGAAAAGAAACUAACAAGGAUUCCCUCAGUAGCGGCGAGUGAAGCGGGAAGAGCUCAAAUUUAAAAUCUGGCCUCUUCGAAGCCCGAGUUGUAGUCUAAAGAAGCGUUUUCCUUUGUUCAUCAAGGCAAAAGUCCUCUGGAAAGGGGCAUCAUAGAGGGUGAGAAUCCCGUCUUUGGCUUUGAAUGUAGCAAUUUUGUGAUACGCUUUCUAAGAGUCAGGUUGUUUGGGAAUGCAGCCUAAAAUGGGUGGUAAAUUUCAUCUAAAGCUAAAUAUUGGCGAGAGACCGAUAGCGCACAAGUA